Molecule: ribosomal RNA, 792 nt
Filed under: Bacillus subtilis
Lineage: Bacteria; Bacillati; Bacillota; Bacilli; Caryophanales; Bacillaceae
Description: bacterial SSU rRNA
Rfam family: Bacterial small subunit ribosomal RNA
Source: RNAcentral
UGAUGUUAGCGGCGGACGGGUGAGUAACACGUGGGUAACCUGCCUGUAAGACUGGGAUAACUCCGGGAAACCGGGGCUAAUACCGGAUGGUUGUUUGAACCGCAUGGUUCAAACAUAAAAGGUGGCUUCGGCUACCACUUACAGAUGGACCCGCGGCGCAUUAGCUAGUUGGUGAGGUAACGGCUCACCAAGGCAACGAUGCGUAGCCGACCUGAGAGGGUGAUCGGCCACACUGGGACUGAGACACGGCCCAGACUCCUACGGGAGGCAGCAGUAGGGAAUCUUCCGCAAUGGACGAAAGUCUGACGGAGCAACGCCGCGUGAGUGAUGAAGGUUUUCGGAUCGUAAAGCUCUGUUGUUAGGGAAGAACAAGUACCGUUCGAAUAGGGCGGUACCUUGACGGUACCUAACCAGAAAGCCACGGCUAACUACGUGCCAGCAGCCGCGGUAAUACGUAGGUGGCAAGCGUUGUCCGGAAUUAUUGGGCGUAAAGGGCUCGCAGGCGGUUUCUUAAGUCUGAUGUGAAAGCCCCCGGCUCAACCGGGGAGGGUCAUUGGAAACUGGGGAACUUGAGUGCAGAAGAGGAGAGUGGAAUUCCACGUGUAGCGGUGAAAUGCGUAGAGAUGUGGAGGAACACCAGUGGCGAAGGCGACUCUCUGGUCUGUAACUGACGCUGAGGAGCGAAAGCGUGGGGAGCGAACAGGAUUAGAUACCCUGGUAGUCCACGCCGUAAACGAUGAGUGCUAAGUGUUAGGGGGUUUCCGCCCCUUAGUGCUGCAGCUAACGCAUUAA